RNAcentral lists this ribosomal RNA (494 nucleotides) under uncultured bacterium. RNAcentral describes it as "partial 16S ribosomal RNA". It matches the Rfam family "Bacterial small subunit ribosomal RNA", at positions 28 to 507 of the family's 1533-position model. The record is from RNAcentral.
GACGAACGCUGGCGGCGUGCUUAACACAUGCAAGUCGAACGGUGAAGCGCCUUCCUUUUUGGUGGGUGUGGAUGAGUGGCGAACGGGUGGGUAACACGUGAGUAACCUGCCCCCUUCUUCUGGAUAACCGCAUGAAAGUGUGGCUAAUACGGGAUAUUCUGGGUCUGUCGCAUGAUGGGUCUGGGAAAGAUAUUGUUUCGGUGGGGGAUGGGCUCGCGGCCUAUCAGCUUGUUGGUGGGGUGAUGGCCUACCAAGGCGGUGACGGGUAGCCGGCCUGGGAGGGUGGACGGUCACACUGGGACUGAGACACGGCCCAGACUCCUACGGGAGGCAGCAGUGGGGAAUAUUGCACAAUGGGGGCAAGCCUGAUGCAGCGACGCCGCGUGAGGGAUGGAGGCCUGCGGGUUGUGAACCUCUUUCGCCAGUGAAGCAGGCCUGCCUCGUUUGUGGGUGGGUUGACGGUAGCUGGAUAAGAAGCGCCGGCUAACUACGUG